RNAcentral lists this ribosomal RNA (894 nucleotides) under uncultured bacterium. RNAcentral's name for it is "bacterial SSU rRNA". It matches the Rfam family "Bacterial small subunit ribosomal RNA", at positions 505 to 1398 of the family's 1533-position model. The record is from RNAcentral.
GUGGCAGCCGCCGCGGUAAUACGGAGGGGGCUAGCGUUGUUCGGAAUUACUGGGCGUAAAGCGUCUGUAGGCGGAUCAAAAAGUUAGAUGUGAAAUCCCUGGGCUUAACCCAGGAACUGCAUUUAAAACUAGUGAUCUAGAAUUUGGUAGAGGAUAGUAGAAUUUCCAGUGUAGAGGUGAAAUUCGUAGAUAUUGGAAAGAAUACCAGUGGCGAAGGCGACUAUCUGGGCCAUUUUUGACGCUGAGAGACGAAAGCGUGGGUAGCAAACAGGAUUAGAUACCCUGGUAGUCCACGCAGUAAACGAUGAGUGCUAGUCGCUGGAUCAAUAGGUUCGGUGUCGAAGCUAACGCAUUAAGCACUCCGCCUGGGAAGUACGGUCGCAAGAUUAAAACUCAAAUAAAUUGACGGGGGCCCGCACAAGCGGUGGAGCAUGUGGUUUAAUUCGAAGCAACGCGAAGAACCUUACCAGUCCUUGACAUGGUGUGUUUGAAUUACAGUAUUGUAAUUCUUCAGUUCGGCUGGCACACACACAGGUGCUGCAUGGCUGUCGUCAGCUCGUGUCGUGAGAUGUUGGGUUAAGUCCCGCAACGAGCGCAACCCUCAUUUUUAGUUGCCAUCAGGUUAAGCUGGGCACUCUAAAGAAACUGCCGGUGAUAAGCUGGAGGAAGGCGGGGAUGACGUCAAGUCCUCAUGGCCCUUACGGACUGGGCUACACACGUGCUACAAUGGUGGUGACAGUGGGAAGCUAUUUCGCAAGAAAAAGCAAAUCUCAAAAAACCAUCUCAGUUCGGAUUGGACUCUGCAACUCGAGUCCAUGAAGUUGGAAUCGCUAGUAAUCGUAGAUCAGCAUGCUACGAUGAAUACGUUCUCGGGCCUUGCACACACCGCCCGUC